Molecule: ribosomal RNA, 387 nt
Filed under: Triticum aestivum (bread wheat)
Lineage: Eukaryota; Viridiplantae; Streptophyta; Magnoliopsida; Poales; Poaceae
Description: partial small subunit ribosomal RNA
Source: RNAcentral
AUGGCGCGCGCCGGCGCUCUCUGCCUCGCGCUGCUCUGCCUCCUCGCGGCGCACUCCGCCGUCGCCGCCCCUCCCGCUCCCGUCGCCGAGGCACCCGCCACCAUCCCCACCAAGCCCGACGCCCCCGCGCCCGCCCCGGCCAAGAAGAAGAAGAAGUCGUCCUCCAAGAAGAAGAAGAGCAAGGCCCCGGCCCCCGCUCCCGUCGCCGCCGAGGCCCCCACCAAGUCCAAGAAGGCCAAGGCCCCCGCGGCCUCCGACGACUCCGAAGCCCCCGGCCCCGCACUCGAUGCUGCCGCCGACGACACCGCGGGCGCGAUCCAGAGCAUGGCAGGGAACAUCAUGUCGGCGUGCGCGAUGGCGCUGGGCCUCCUCGCCCUCCUCGCCUAG